CAGUAGUCGUGGUGAGCGCGUCCAACCACCAUGACGACCUCAAACCUCCUCUUCAUUCUCGCCUUCGUGACAGGUGGUCUGGCAGCCCCCUGGGGAGCGGACUUGCCAAGAUGCUCCACCGAAUGCCCCAUCACCGGAUCCCCCAAACUGGCCUACCAACCCGACAAGACCUACGCCUACGCCUACUCACUCCGGCAAGUCCAGUGUCCAUCAACUUAAGGGCGUGGACAAACGGCGCCUGCUGAGAUCGAGUGGAACUGCAGGAGUUGAUCUCACCUGGAUCAGCCCUUGCGACAUGGCCAUCUCCUUCAGGAACACCAAGAUGGAUGGCGCCCGAGGUCCCAUCGCUGCCAGUACACUGGAGAGACAUCCACUGGUGGUGGCCGUUGUCGACGGGAGGGUGCAGCACGUGUGCGCUCACCCAGAGGACGAACCAUGGGCCAUCAACCUGAAAAAGGGCGUUGCUUCAGCUUUCCAGAACUCCAUCCCUUCUCUGUCUGCUGUCAGCUCAGGCAUCACAGUAACUGAGACCGAUGUUGUCGGAAAGUGCCCGACAAAGUAUGAAAUUGAGACCGAAGGAGAGAAAGUCAUUGUGGUCAAGGAGAAGAACCACCGCCACUGUCAAAGACUUUGACGCCAACACCUGCUGAAACACCUGCACCAUGGCUGAAGGCUCCCCUGCCAAUCGAGGAAUCCAAGUCGCAGUGCAGGCAGGAAAUCGCCAAUGGCAUUUACACCGCCAUUACGUGUCAGGACAAGAACAUCGUUCGACCUGCCAUUGGAAUCUACAAGUACGUGGAGGCCAGUCAGGAUUCAACACUUCGCUUCAUCUCCGAGUCCUCCGACACUUCAGCCAAUCAGUGGCAUCCAUUCCGGGAGUGCACAAUUGAAAGCUGUUGUAACAACCAUUGAAACAUGAGGACCCACAGCUAGCACCCGAGCUGGAUGAGCUCAUGAAGGGAAUCUGUGCCAAGACCAGGACAACAGUUGGGCCUGAAGCUGCUGCAUUGGUUGCUAAGGCUCUCCUGUUUUUACGUUCGCGUUCCCUGAGACAGUUUGUGGAGACUGCCCGACAGUGAGACAGGACAUUACUGCAUUUACCUCUGCCAGGCUGGAGAUCAUCUUCUUGGACGCAGUUUCUUUCCUCCCACGAGUCUUGUGCAGGUAAGGUCAUGGUCCACCGGACAUCGGAGAAUGUUGACGAGCAACAGGGGGACGGCUCGCUCUGUACACGGCAGAGCUCUACCUCACCUCCACGCCCAACAUUGAUCGUCAAGGCCCUCCCGCCCACUGUUUGAAAGCCCUCCACCAAUGCCCCAUUGCUGCUGGCAGGCUGCUUCCCAUGGAAACAACUCUCCGCCAUACUCCAGCUGUUUAUGAAAAGCUCAGAUUGCAUCAAGAAUUGCCGAGAUUCUGCCACUAGAUCCCAAAUUCCACUGUUUCUCCUUCUGCUGGUGCUGAGGACAGGAAUAGCCUUGCAAUUUCAAGGCAAAUAGGGAUAGGGUGUAUCUAGCACUGACUUCAACCAGGGCAGCCGUUCAGUGCAUUGAGGAAGAAGGACUGGAAAUCGGCGUUCGGGUAGCUGCAGCACAAGCCUUCAGACAAGCCAACUGCUUCCGUCCAGCAGUUGAGAAGCUAGUUGACAUUGCCGUCCGACCAGCCUUUGAGACCGAAGUUCGCAUCACUUCCUAUCUGGCUGCUAUUCGAUGUGCUGAACAGGAACACCUGGAAACAAUUAUUGAAAAAAUUUCAAAGGAAGAGAAUACCCAAGUGCGCGGAUUUGUUUUGGGUCACCUGAUCAACAUCCAAGAGUCUACCUGCCCUGCCAAAGAAAAUCUCAGGUACCUCCUUGCCAACGUCGUCAUCCCUACCGACUUCGAGAGGGACUUCAGGAAAUUCUCUCGAAAUAUAGAUGUGGCUUACCAUGCCCCUGCCUUUGGCAUGGGUGCCGGCCUCGAAUCGAACAUCAUCUAUGCUCCUGGAUCUUUCAUUCCUCGUGCUGUUAACCUGAAAAUGAAAGCAGAUAUGGAUGAGAUGCACAUGGACAUAGCAGAGAUUGGUGCGCGCUUUGAAGGAAUUGAUUCCAUCAUUGAAGAACUCCUGGGCCCACAGGGAUACCUACGCAGAGCAACAUUUGGCAAGAUUAUGGAGGACAUUACAGGUUUUGCAGGAGAGAAAGGCCUCAAGGUCAUGGAGCACAUCAAGCACACUCUUAGGAACAGGUUGGCUUUCACGAUUCUAUCAGUCAUUCGGACUUCUUGGAAACUGUUGUGAGGGCAAGAUCACAUGUCCACGCCGAUCUAUUCGCCCGAUUCAUGGGACACGAGAUUACUUACGCAGAUGUUGCCGAAAGCCUCAAAGGUGUCACAGCUGACACACUCAUUGAGACCUUCUUCUCUCUCUUUGAGAAUUCUUUGGAGCAUAUGAAGGAUCUAAACCUGAACACAGCAAGAACUGCUCAGCUUUCCAUGGAUUAUUCACUGCCGACCAUUCAGGGCACACCACUCAGACUGAAAUUAGCUGGAACUGCUGUUGCUGGCGUGAAGAUGGAAGGCAACGAUCAACAUGGCCAAUCCUCUCCGACACCUCGGGGCAUUGCCCAGACCAGUCAUUUAAAUUCUCCGCAGCCUUUCUGUAAAGCCACUGGUUUGGUUGGCUUUGCAAUGCGUGCGGCUUUACCAGGGUGGGAUCGGAGAGCAGAAACAACCAUCUCUCUAGUGCCACUGGAGCUGCCAUCAAAAUCAGAACAACUGAAAACAAGAAGAUCGAGAUGGAACUGGAGAUCCCUGAGAGGAUGGAGCUACUCAACAUCAAGGCCGAGACUUACCUUGUCAAAGCUGUGGGAGAGAAGAUAACUAAGAUUUCUCCUUCCUCCAUGAGAGAUGUCAGGAUUCAGCACAACUCCUGCAUUGGUGCUUUGGAACCAGUAUUUGGCCUCAAGGUGUGCUAUGACAUGAACAUUCCUGAUGUCUUCCGUGCUAAUGCCCUGCCACUUGGUGAACCAGCCAUCGCCAAGCUGUAUGUUGAGAAGGCAGAUCCUUCCAUGAGAGGUUACUUAGUGACCGCUGCCAUCAAGAACAAGAGAGGUAACAAGGUCAUUAAGAUGAAUGUAGAAGCAGCUGGUGCCUCAACACCAAGAAGAGCAGAAAUGACCCUUUCGUACACCAAGGAAGAAGGAAACCACAUUGUUUCUGCCAAACUUGAUUCCUCCAGCAUUGCUGCAGGAGUGUGGACCACUCUUACCAACGAGCAAGGACACAAGGCAGUAGAGACUUAUGUCAACUUCAAUUAUGGUCAGAUUGCUAUUUCUCGUGGCAUUAAGCUGGAUGUGAUUGCAAGGGAAGGAAGUGUGGGAGAAGAGUUCCAAGUUAAUGCGUUCAGCAGUGGCACCAGGAGUUUCCCCUCUGAAUCACACAUUGUGGAGGUUUAAUUCAUCAAGAAACUAGUGGUUACCUGAAUUCACAAUGUGGGAUGUAUUGGCAGACCAAAAAAUGCUCCUACCAGAGUUUUCGACUUAGAUAUUGAAGUUGGAGCCGAUUUCAUGAAAUUUUCUCCUAGGGAUCUGUAUCCUACAAGAUAUAUCCCCAAGACCCGAAUUAUCCUACCCAUAAACCUGCGAAAGAUGGAAAUCAAUGCUGCCACUGCAGCCUGGAGACUGACAUCGUACAUUCGUGCAGGAAGUCAAUCUGGCGAAAGCCAUGAGUUCAUUUCUGCUCUCAAGCUUGCCAAAGGAAGGAAGGCUAUCAUCUCUGUACAGGCUACUCAUACUAUAGAAGGAAGAUUCCCACAAAACAUCAUCAUCAAAAAUGUAGCAACAGCCGAAGUUGGCAGAUCAUCAUACAGAGCAAUAUAUGAUGUCUUCUAUCACUCUGAAAAAAUGGGUGCUUUUGUUAAGGUUUUGCAUGCAGCUGGUAAUGAGGAGGUUGCCCAUUUGGAAGCAAUUUACGAACUUUCGGGAGAAAAGUCCUGCACUAAAUUCUUGGCGGAGAUUCCUGGCUACAUUCAGCCAGUUAAAGUUGAUGCCGAUAUUGAACAAGAAGCAGAAGGUCGCUAUACACUGAAAUCCGCCAUCACAUAUGGACAACGUACAGUACUUGAAGUUAGUGGGCCGAUUAUGGCUCGUUUCAGCUCCAAGAUUGCCAAGCUGCAAGCCAAUAUCAAGCUCAGGGCAAUGGCAAGUGAACCCUACAUCAUUGGUGCCAAUUUUGCAUUUGGCAACAAGAAGCAAAUGAUAGCCAUGGAAAUCAAAGAGCGAUCAGAACCUCUCAUUGGUCUUGAAUGGAAAAUGGUCCGAGAAAGUUCCGAGAAAACCACUGUUGGCAUAGUGUUUGUGCUCCCUGCCCUUAUCGAGAACAAGAUCGACGCUGAAAUUACUGACGGACUUAUCCAUGUUAGUUUCAACAACUUGGUUCUACCCAAGACCUCAUCCCGCCGUCGGGUUAAAGGAUUCGCUGAUGUUAGUAUUGCAGAGAAAAAGGCAAAUGUAGAAUUUUCUUGGGACCGCCGAUAAUGCUCCUGAAAAUAAUUCUUGGUGUUUUGAUGCCAAGCCUUAUCAGCGUCCUGCCAUGCCUGGGACAAUGCUGAGAUCCACGGGAAUAUUGUCAUUGCUGGAGAGCCUUAACCACGGAACCACCCAAACUGUUCUCUGACUGCCGCAAAUUCUGGUAGAGCUAUGGAAGGGGAACAAUGGUUCAGUUGAUCCUGACAACUCCUGCCCAGAAAGGAACGAUUGUACUUGGGAGCCUCCUGUGAUGUCACUGCAGGACCUACGACUAAAGUCAUUUCCAACUGGUCGAAUACAAGAACAUGAAGAUAGGAAACAAAUAUGCAAGGGUGAUUGCCUUGGAGAGCUUGGUGGCCCACAUAAUUAUAGCCGUAGAAGCCAAGUACUAACUUCCAAACAACGCUGGAACAAGCAAAAUAAAGCUAGAACAGCACAAAGCAAACAUCACUGACGACCAGAAGAAACAUGUUGUGGCAUUCAUGGUAGAGGCUGAUGCUCCAGUACUGAAGACACCUGCCACGAUUGCAUUCCCAUUACGUUGCACAAUACAACCAAAUGCUUUGUUGAUUCUGCAAGAAUCGAAAGAAAUGCUGCUCUCCUUUCUCACUGGGUUUUGAAUGGAAUGGUGCAGGUUACGUCCUGCGAGGAGGAAUUGAAACUGUUGAAGCUUGGUUUUGGAUAUGAAAGCCAUCAUUGAAGUUUUGAAGAAGUGUUCAUUUGCCGUUGCUAUUCUCGAGGAGAAAGUUUGCAACCUUAAUGUCCACAGACAUCCCAAUACCAGUGUAACCGUUUCACAAUGCCAUCCACCCACCUCGUACACCAUGCAGGAUGAGCACUCCAACCCGCACCAUGGAAGGAAGAGCUAAACUAUCACCGAAGGGAAUCUGAAUCAAGUUCUAACCCCAAUAAUGGCAAAACUGAAUCACUACGAAUUGAUACAAAGGGCCAACCACGAGGGAAGGUGGGGACGACAUGCGUCCCAAGCUGAAUUCAAAUAACCAUCCAGUGCUUCCUAAGCCCAUCAUGGCCGCUGUUCAGUACACAGUAGCCGAAGAAACAACGAAGGGAACAAUUGAAUUGGACAUUUUCCCAGAAGAAGCGGAUAAAAUUACUGGUACAUUGGAAACUCAUAGAAUAUCUGAAAAUGCUAUCAGAGCAGAAAGCCUUCUUGACUGGAAGGAUGUUGAAAGUGACCCCUAAGGCAAUUAUCACUGCUGCUUAUGGACCAGAGACAGUUUUGCUUUGUGGAUGUAUGUUGCCCAAGACCCUGUCCAUCUGCCAGUCACCAAUCUUCGCAUUGCCUGCCAAGUAUGACAAGACUGCAGCUCACAAUGCAGCUUCCUACAUUCACAUAAAGAUGGAAGAGCGACCUGUCUUUGAAAUCACUGCAGUGACAGAACCUGAGGAAGCAGCCACCUGCAAUGGCAUCAGAAUGAAGGCUGUUGCAUAUGCAGCAACUUUUGGAAAGUACAACAUUUUCUCCAAGAUGUGCAGACCUGCCUUCAUUGAGGUGACCGCAAUGCGACCUGGUGCAGCAAAGGAAUACAUUGCCAAGCUUGGCCUCCGAUAUCCUGACACUGCUGAAGCAGGUGUAUAUGUGGCGAGCGGCAGAGCUGGAGAGACUCGCGGUGUUGCUGUUGCUGCUGUGAAGUUGGCUUCACCCACAAUGCUUAAGGUCGAGAUGGCUUAUGAACCACAAGAAGCAGAAGCAAUAAUCAACGAAAUGACCGAAGAGUAUGAGAAGAUUGCCGCAUCAUUCACGUCUGUUAUAAUGGAGGUUGUCCAGUUCCUCAAGGAAGAAGCUGCUGCAAAGGGUAUUCAUUUCCCUUCAUCUCAGUUAGUCAACCUACUGGGAGCUGCUAAGGAGGAAAUUGAAGAGAUCUAUCGAGAUAUUGUCUCUGAGGCAAGAAUUUUUGAUACCGAAAUCCUUGGUGAUAUUCUGGAAAGUCCUGUGGUGUCCUUCAUAUCACGGGUCUACUUCGGUGUGUGGUCGGAGAUGAUUCAUCUUCAACACCAUCUUUCUUUAAACCUCAUCCAGACGAUAGAGAGAUUCCAGGAAGAAUUAGCAAGCAUUUCUGAAAUCGUAAUGGAAGUUGUGAUGACAGCAGCACGAAUGGCAGAAGCUGGAGAAGUACCCGAAGUAGUGUUUGAUGCGCUUGAAGAAAUCAAGGCCACCAAAGUUUUCAGGGUUGUGAAGAGGGAAGUGGACGCAGUUUUAGAAGAAUAUCCGGAGGAGUAUGAAGCUGUUAAACACAUUGUUGAUAAUGUGGUGGCAAUGCUCAAGCGAGAUGUUGGCAUUGUUCGUGAGAGGCUCAUGGAGAUUCCAGCUGUUGUGCAAAUCAUCGACUACACUAUGUAUCACUUCCAUUCGGAACGUGCAUUUGCUGCAGAAGCAGAAAAGAUCGUCAGCCUGAUGCUUAACGAACUUCUUUUCGUCUCAAUGGAAAGAGAAGGCAACGGUAUUGCAGUCCAAAUUCCCCUCCACCGACCCUUGUAUUCUCUAACGCAAGUGGCCCAAGAAGCAGUGCCCAAUCCUGUCACAAUGCUUGAGAACCUGAUAUUUGCAUACGUUGAAUACAUCCCCAUCCCUGUCAGCGACGCAAUCUGGGCCUACUACAACUUCGUACCACGCUACAUAACGGACGUGCUGCCACCCUAUCCACGAACAGCCACGGUGGUUGGCGGCACCGAGAUCCUCACCUUCAGCGGCCAUGUGGUGCGAGCACCUCGCUCGCCGUGCAAGGUUGUUCUGGCUGCUCACGGCUCCCACCGCCUCAUGAUGUCCCACCCACAAGCCUCAGCCCCGGCACAGCUUGAACUGAAGACACCAGCAGCCACCGUCAUGAUCAAGCCUGACUUUGAAGUCGUGGUUAAUGGCCAACCCCUCGCGGGAUCCCAGCAAACUAUCGGAAACGUCAGGAUUGUGAACACAGCCAAGUACAUUGAGGUGGGAUGUCCCCUAAUGAAGGUCGUCGUUUCCAAGGCAGGCGAGGCCAUAGCUGUUGAGGCUUCAGGUUGGGUGUUUGGACGUGUAGCAGGGCUACUGGGUCCCAACAAUGGAGAAAUCGCCGAUGACCUUCUCAUGCCCAGCGGUGCAGCAGCCUCCAACCCCCGCGAUUUGAUAGCUGCUUGGCAGGAGGACCAACAGUGCUCCACCCCUGAGGUUCCUCGUGCAGAGACCUCAGUAGCUCGCCUGAUUCAGUGUGAAGCAUUGCUGGGGAUUCGCUCCAGGUGUAACCCAGUGGUUCACCCACAGCCAUUCAUUAAGAUGUGUCACGCUGCCCACAAGCCUUGCGAUGCCGCCCAAGCUUACAGAACCAUUUGUUCUCUGAGAGGAGUUGAAGAAGUUUUCCCUUUGGCAUGUUAACAACACCUGUUGACAUGUUUACAUAGCCUAAAUGUUGACGACUCAUUCAGAUUUUGGAUAUGGCUAUAGAUGUUAAUGUAUUUUUUGUUACGUGAAUGCAUCAUAAAAUAUACAAAAAAUAGAAUUUCAAUAAAAUUGCAGCCAACAAUA
Penaeus monodon (black tiger shrimp) is the source of this 8021-nucleotide RNA transcript. It is a transcript of the gene named vitellogenin-like, with no coding region annotated. The record is from RefSeq and is a predicted model, not a curated record. Lineage: Eukaryota; Metazoa; Arthropoda; Malacostraca; Decapoda; Penaeidae. The transcript is spliced from 16 exons.